This 431-nucleotide ribosomal RNA is filed under the name uncultured bacterium. Its description in RNAcentral is "partial 16S ribosomal RNA". It matches the Rfam family "Bacterial small subunit ribosomal RNA", at positions 29 to 507 of the family's 1533-position model. The record is from RNAcentral.
AACGAACGCUGGCGGCAGGCUUAACACAUGCAAGUCGAGCGCCCCGCAAGGGGAGCGGCCGCCGGGUGAGUAACGCGUGGGAACGUACCUUUUGGUUCGGAACAACUCCGGGAAACUGGAGCUAAUACCGGAUAGGCCCUAACGGGGAAAGAUUUAUCGCCGAAAGAUCGGCCCGCGUCUGAUUAGCUAGUUGGUGAGGUAACGGCUCACCAAGGCGACGAUCAGUAGCUGGUCUGAGAGGAUGAUCAGCCACACUGGGACUGAGACACGGCCCAGACUCCUACGGGAGGCAGCAGUGGGGAAUAUUGGACAAUGGGCGCAAGCCUGAUCCAGCCAUGCCGCGUGAGUGAUGAAGGCCUUAGGGUUGUAAAGCUCUUUUGUCCGGGAAGAUAAUGACUGUACCGGAAGAAUAAGCCCCGGCUAACUUCGUG